AACAAAUGCUAAAGACAAAUGUG
This 23-nucleotide non-coding RNA is filed under the name Arabidopsis thaliana (thale cress). The record is from RNAcentral. Lineage: Eukaryota; Viridiplantae; Streptophyta; Magnoliopsida; Brassicales; Brassicaceae.